RNAcentral lists this long non-coding RNA (279 nucleotides) under Fukomys damarensis (Damara mole-rat). RNAcentral describes it as "lncRNA (ENSFDAG00000022285.1)". Lineage: Eukaryota; Metazoa; Chordata; Mammalia; Rodentia; Bathyergidae. The record is from RNAcentral.
UACAAAACAGGAGAAAUUCUGUAUUUUUAAAGGAUUACCUAUCCAAACUUUGUUUCAGAAUUCAGAGACAAAAAUCACAAUCAAAUAAUGAGGCAAAACUUUUUGAAAAAAAUAAGCAAAUAUAAGGUUUGUACAAAUCAACUAAAUUCUAAGUUAAAAAUUCUAUUUUCCAAUUAAAAACUUAUAUCUCCAAAAUAUUUUUGUGCCAAAGAAGAAGCACAUAAAUAUAGGUAAAUAUCAGAUGCUGUCUUUCUCUUUCUUUGUUUUCUACCUAUAAUA